GAUGAAGAACGCAGCGAAAUGCGAUAAGUAAUGUGAAUUGCAGAAUUCAGUGAAUCAUCGAAUCUUUGAACGCACCUUGCGCCCUUUGGCCAUUCCGAAGGGCAUGCCUGUUUGAGUAUCAUGAACACCUCAACUCUUCAUGGUUUUCCGUGAUGAGCUUGGACUUUGGGGGUCUUGCUGGCCUAUGGUCAGCUCCUCUAAAAUAAAUCAGCUUGCCAGUGUUUGGUGGGUAUCACAGGUGUGAUAACUAUCUACGCUUGUGGUUUUCCACCAGGUAACCUUCAGCAGUGGAGGUUCGCUGGAGCUCACAGAUGUGUCUCUCCUCAGUGAGGACAGCUCUUUGAAUGUUUGAUCUCAAAUCAGGUAGGACUACCCGCUGAACUUAAGCAUAUCAAUAAGCCGGAGGA
Molecule: unclassified non-coding RNA, 407 nt
Filed under: soil metagenome
Description: partial contains 5.8S ribosomal RNA, internal transcribed spacer 2, and large subunit ribosomal RNA
Rfam family: 5.8S ribosomal RNA (bases 1-121)
Source: RNAcentral